RNAcentral lists this unclassified non-coding RNA (192 nucleotides) under uncultured Hypocreaceae. RNAcentral describes it as "sequence contains ITS1". Lineage: Eukaryota; Fungi; Ascomycota; Sordariomycetes; Hypocreales. The record is from RNAcentral.
CCGAGUUAUACAACUCCCAAACCCACUGUGAACCUUACCUUUACGUUGCUUCGGCGGGACCGCCCCGGGACACCUGUGCCCCGGAUCCAGGCGCCCGCCGGAGGCCCCAAAACUCUUUUGUAUACCCCCUCGCGGGUUUUUUAAUAUCUGAGCCAUCUCGGCGCCUCUCGUAGGCGUUUCGAAAAUGAAUCA